RNAcentral lists this ribosomal RNA (447 nucleotides) under uncultured bacterium. Its description in RNAcentral is "partial 16S ribosomal RNA". It matches the Rfam family "Bacterial small subunit ribosomal RNA", at positions 29 to 523 of the family's 1533-position model. The record is from RNAcentral.
AACGAACGCUGGCGGCCGGCCUAACACAUGCAAGUCGAGCGCCCCGCAAGGGGAGCGGUAGACGGGUGAGUAACGCGUGGGAAUCUCCCCAUCGUUCCGGAAUAGCCCCGGGACACUGGAAUGAAUACCGCAUACGCCCUACGGGGGAAAGAUUUAUCGGGGUUGGAUGAGCCCGCGUGGGAUUAGCUAGUUGGGAGGGUAAAGGCCUACCAAGGCGACGACCCAUAGCGGGUCUGAGAGGAUGAUCAGCCACAUUGGGACUGAGCCACGGCCCAAACUCCUACGGGAGGCAGCAGUGGGGAAUAUUGGACAAUGGGGGCAACCCUGAUCCAGCCAUGCCGCGUGAGUGAUGAAGGCCUUAGGGUUGUAAAGCUCUUUCACCGGGGAAGAUCAUGACGGUACCCGGAGAAGAAGCCCCGGCUAACUUCGUGCCAGCCGCCGCGGUAA